AGAGUUUGAUCCUGGCUCAGGACGAACGCUGGCGGCGUGCCUAAUACAUGCAAGUCGAGCGAGUCUGCCUUGAAGAUCGGAGUGCUUGCACUCUGUGAAACAAGAUACAGGCUAGCGGCGGACGGGUGAGUAACACGUGGGUAACCUGCCCAAGAGAUCGGGAUAACACCUGGAAACAGAUGCUAAUACCGGAUAACAACAGAUGAUGCCUAUCAACUGUUUAAAAGAUGGUUCUGCUAUCACUCUUGGAUGGACCUGCGGUGCAUUAGCUAGUUGGUAGGGUAACGGCCUACCAAGGCGAUGAUGCAUAGCCGAGUUGAGAGACUGAUCGGCCACAUUGGGACUGAGACACGGCCCAAACUCCUACGGGAGGCAGCAGUGGGGAAUAUUGCACAAUGGGCGCAAGCCUGAUGCAGCCAUGCCGCGUGUAUGAAGAAGGCCUUCGGGUUGUAAAGUACUUUCAGCGAGGAGGAAGGCGUUGUGGUUAAUAACCGCAACGAUUGACGUUACUCGCAGAAGAAGCACCGGCUAACUCCGUGCCAGCCGCCGCGGUAA
RNAcentral lists this ribosomal RNA (555 nucleotides) under uncultured Lactobacillaceae bacterium. RNAcentral's name for it is "bacterial SSU rRNA". It matches the Rfam family "Bacterial small subunit ribosomal RNA", at positions 8 to 523 of the family's 1533-position model. The record is from RNAcentral. Lineage: Bacteria; Bacillati; Bacillota; Bacilli; Lactobacillales; Lactobacillaceae.